GCGGCGGUAAGCAUUUCAGCCAACCGGAUCAAAUCGAAAUGUUGAGCGUUUAAAUGGUCUUUGUUUUGGGAAGACUCCCAGUCCCUAUUUCCUUAUUUGAAAGCUAAAGAAAUGUAUGACAGUCAACAGUUAAGAUGGAAGAAAACCAGUUUACUUCACUGACGGUUCCCUCGGAUUAUUUUCAGCAGUGGUACCAGUCCAGCCAGCAGUACCCUGAGGUACAGCAUGUGGCACCCUAUCCCAGCAUGGACCAUUACACUGAAGGUCCCGUGGAUGAGCCUGUCAUGGCCGAGCUAUCUGUUCACCGGGAUCCAAAUUUUUAUCAGGAACCUUUUUACACGAACUACCUUCCAGCCCCAAAUCAUUACCCGGAGCAGGUGUCUCAGCAGAACAUCAGAGAGCACCAGCAGCACCCAGAUCUUGCACUCCUGCACCACCCACGGCAUCAACAUACACAACACAUACAGCAUGCUCAACACACACAGCAUACACAGCAGCACGGGCCAAGUAUUCAGCACCAGCCUUCAGGUCCACCUAAAGACGUGACACCAGUGAAGAAGAAGAGAGGUCGACCUCCGAAACAGCAAGCGGAGGAUGGUGAGACACGUGAGGAGGACGACGAGGUUGAGGCUGCCAAAAAAGCCAAGAGAGCUCUCAACCGCUUCAACGGCAUGUCAGUGGCUGAAGUUAUGGCUAAAACACUGCCAGAUGUGAUUACCUACAAUCUCGACAUUUUGAUAAUUGGAAUUAAUCCAGGCCUAUUGUCAGCUUACAAAGGACAUCAUUACCCAAACCCAGGGAACCAUUUCUGGAAAUGUCUGUUUCUGUCAGGUCUAACUGACCAGCAACUUAACUACAUGCAUGACCAGAGCCUGCCAGAGAAAUACAGCAUCGGCUUUACCAAUAUGGUAGAAAGGACCACACCUGGCAGCAAGGAUCUCUCCAGUAAGGAGAUCCGUGAAGGAGGCCGACAGUUACUUGAGAAGCUACAAAAAUACAAGCCAUUAAUAGCAGCGUUUAAUGGAAAAGGUAUUUAUGAAAUCUUCUGCAAAGAAACCUUUGGUGUGAAGGCCAAGAACCUUGAGUUUGGACUACAGCCGUACAAAAUUCCCGAAACUGAAACGGUGUGCUACUUGAUGCCGUCAUCGAGCCCCCGCUGUGCUCAGUUUCCUCGUGCACAAGAUAAGGUGCAUUUUUACAUCAAGCUGAAGGAACUGAGAGACCAGAUGAAAGGCCUGGCACCGAGCCGUGAGGUGGAAGAGACAGAGUACUCUUUUGACCUGCAGCUAGCUAAAGAGGAUGCUAAAAGGAUUGCAAUCAAAGAGGAGCAGCUAGAUCCAGAGUAUGAAAGCUGUAGUGCACUGCAUGAAGAAACCAGGCACAGCAACAACUCCUCGAAAUAAAAGAGAUUCAGGGGAGGAGAAAAAACAAGCCUGCCUACUGGAGCACUCAGGGUUGGAAGGGGGCUGGAGUCUAUCCCAGUCACAGCGAAAAAGGCGGGGUACACCUCGGACAGGUCGCCAGUAAAUCACAGGUCUAGAGACAGACAAACUUUCAUGCUCAAAUUCCCACCUAGGGCCAAAUAAGAGUUUUCUUUCAACCUAACCCUUGUCUGUGUUUGGACUGUGAAAGGAAGCUGGAGUACCAUAAGAGAACCCAAUGCGAGCAUGGCGAAAACAUGUAAACCCCACACAUAAAGGCCCAUCCACAUUAUAUGCUCAUCAGCUUAUAAUGAUGUGUAACACCUCGGGACAUUUGCUCAACAGAUACCAAAUACCAGCUGACCUAGUAGCCUCACCAAGGAUGAGAAGUAACACUGUGAGAGAAGAAGACCUCUGUUCCCCAGACAGUGUCACGCACAAAACAGAAAAGCCCCCACAGCACUCACACAUGUGCAUGU
Molecule: RNA transcript, 1900 nt
Organism: Pundamilia nyererei
Lineage: Eukaryota; Metazoa; Chordata; Actinopteri; Cichliformes; Cichlidae
Gene: tdg.2
Gene name: thymine DNA glycosylase, tandem duplicate 2
Exons: 11
Source: RefSeq, a predicted model, not a curated record